GGUGGCUCGCGGGCGCUUCCCUUUCUUUUUCUCCUUCCUUUCUUUGCUCUCUCCCUUCACUUUUCCUGAAUGUCUUCCCCGUGCCCUGAUAUGCGGCUUUCCACCAUGGAAUCUUGUGCGAGUUGCCCAAGCUGGAGGGAAUUAUGUUAUUGUAGAGGCUGGAAAAAGAGAACCUGAAAUUCAGAAGAAAAUUGAAUAUGCAGGUGGAGUGGAUUUAAAAUGAAUAAAACUGGAUAAUUUAACUUCAUGAGGAAAAUUACUUGUUCAGAUUUUGAUCAAGAGUUCUGGAGUUUGGAAUAGUCAGUAUGACACUCAACUUUGAUGGUACUCACUGCAUCUAUGACUUUGGGCAAGU
Monodelphis domestica (gray short-tailed opossum) is the source of this 355-nucleotide long non-coding RNA. RefSeq lists it as uncharacterized. NCBI's taxonomy places the organism in Eukaryota, Metazoa, Chordata, Mammalia, Didelphimorphia, Didelphidae. The record is from RefSeq and is a predicted model, not a curated record.